AUCAAAGUUAUGUGCUAAUGACAUUAUAGUGCCACCAGUUAACUUACUGCUUUUCUCCCUUCCACAAGCAGGUUCGCCUCUCCUUCCUAACCCAAACAGUCACAUUCGCCAGCUGCCAAGCAACUACUGAAAAUCUAAGAAUGCUCAGAUGAUAAUUACUGAAGCAUCAUGAUACGUAUCAUUCACAAUAUAAACAUUUUGGCCUCCUUGACCUCAAAAUAAAGCUACAUCAUGCACUGCAGGGAAUCACAUCAAGUUACAGGUAUUACACAUCCAUCAGUGCAGAGGAAGGAAGUCAGGGCAGGGGCAGGGGUAAGGAAAAUUUAUAUUUUUAUACUAUUCCAUGGUAUAUUUCACAACAAGUAGGUAUUUACUCCAAAACUACAUUUUCAAAAAGUAGUACCUAUAAUAUGUCAUACAACUAGGUAAUUUUUCCUUCAACUUCACCUUCCAUACUAAAUGGGGGUUAAGGAGCAGAGAAAGUGCAGCUUGUAAGUUUAGAGAAUACUGGAGGAAAAAUAUGCAAGGAAAAAUCUCUCUCCAAAUUAUCUCUUGCUUUGCUCAAAAAAUAUAA
Long non-coding RNA from Pipra filicauda (Wire-tailed manakin), 574 nucleotides. RefSeq lists it as uncharacterized. The transcript has 3 exons. NCBI's taxonomy places the organism in Eukaryota, Metazoa, Chordata, Aves, Passeriformes, Pipridae. The record is from RefSeq and is a predicted model, not a curated record.